CGACGUGGAUAACCUGCCUCACACUGGGGGAUAGCAGUUAGAAAUGACUGCUAAUACCGCAUAAGCGCACAGCACCGCAUGGUACAGUGUGAAAAACUCCGGUGGUGUGAGAUGGAUCCGCGUCUGAUUAGCCAGUUGGCGGGGUAACGGCCCACCAAAGCGACGAUCAGUAGCCGACCUGAGAGGGUGACCGGCCACAUUGGGACUGAGACACGGCCCAA
This 221-nucleotide ribosomal RNA is filed under the name uncultured bacterium. RNAcentral's name for it is "partial 16S ribosomal RNA". It matches the Rfam family "Bacterial small subunit ribosomal RNA", at positions 113 to 334 of the family's 1533-position model. The record is from RNAcentral.